AACGAACGCUGGCGGCGUGUUUAAGACAUGCAAGUCGCACGGGGCAGGUUGAGUAGCAAUACGAGAUCUGUUCAGUGGCGCACGGGUGAGUAACACGUGAAUUACAUGCCCUUCAGUGGGGAAUAGCCCAGGGAAACUUGGAUUAAUACCCCAUGGUCUCGCAAGAGUAAAGGUGGCCGCAAGGCUAGUCGCUGAAGGAUUGGUUCGCGCCCUAUCAGCUUGUUGGUGAGGUAACGGCUCACCAAGGCUACGACGGGUACCUGGUCUGAGAGGACGAUCAGGCACACUGGAACUGAGACACGGUCCAGACACCUACGGGUGGCAGCAGUCGAGAAUAAUUCACAAUGGGGCAACCCUGAUGGUGCAACGCCG
RNAcentral lists this ribosomal RNA (372 nucleotides) under uncultured bacterium. Its description in RNAcentral is "bacterial SSU rRNA". It matches the Rfam family "Bacterial small subunit ribosomal RNA", at positions 29 to 399 of the family's 1533-position model. The record is from RNAcentral.